Molecule: ribosomal RNA, 2399 nt
Filed under: Listeria monocytogenes
Lineage: Bacteria; Bacillati; Bacillota; Bacilli; Caryophanales; Listeriaceae
Description: partial 23S ribosomal RNA
Rfam family: Bacterial large subunit ribosomal RNA
Source: RNAcentral
UUGGUUAAGUUAGAAAGGGCGCACGGUGGAUGCCUUGGCACUAGGAGCCGAAGAAGGACGGGACUAACACCGAUAUGCUUUGGGGAGCUGUACGUAAGCGUUGAUCCAGAGAUUUCCGAAUGGGGGAACCCACUAUCUUUAGUCGGAUAGUAUCCUUACGUGAAUACAUAGCGUGAGGAAGGCAGACCCAGGGAACUGAAACAUCUAAGUACCUGGAGGAAGAGAAAGAAAAAUCGAUUUCCUGAGUAGCGGCGAGCGAAACGGAAAGAGCCCAAACCAAGAAGCUUGCUUCUUGGGGUUGUAGGACACUCUAUACGGAGUUACAAAAGAAAGUUAUAAAUGAAGCGGUCUGGAAAGGCCCGCCAAAGACGGUAACAGCCCGGUAGUUGAAAUGGCUUUCCCUCCAGAGUGGAUCCUGAGUACGGCGGAACACGUGAAAUUCCGUCGGAAUCCGGGAGGACCAUCUCCCAAGGCUAAAUACUCCCUAGUGACCGAUAGUGAACCAGUACCGUGAGGGAAAGGUGAAAAGCACCCCGGAAGGGGAGUGAAACAGUUCCUGAAACCGUGUGCCUACAAGUAGUUAGAGCCCGUUAAUGGGUGAUAGCGUGCCUUUUGUAGAAUGAACCGGCGAGUUACGAUUUGUUGCAAGGUUAAGCGGAAAAAGCGGAGCCGUAGCGAAAGCGAGUCUGAAUAGGGCGCAUAAGUAACAGGUCGUAGACCCGAAACCAGGUGAUCUACCCAUGUCCAGGAUGAAGGUAAGGUAAUACUUACUGGAGGUCCGAACCCACGCACGUUGAAAAGUGCGGGGAUGAGGUGUGGGUAGCGGAGAAAUUCCAAUCGAACUUGGAGAUAGCUGGUUCUCUCCGAAAUAGCUUUAGGGCUAGCCUCGAGGUAAAGAGUCAUGGAGGUAGAGCACUGUUUGGACUAGGGGCCCUUCUCGGGUUACCGAAUUCAGAUAAACUCCGAAUGCCAUGUACUUAUACUCGGGAGUCAGACUGCGAGUGAUAAGAUCCGUAGUCGAAAGGGAAACAGCCCAGACCACCAGUUAAGGUCCCCAAAUAUAUGUUAAGUGGAAAAGGAUGUGGGGUUGCUUAGACAACCAGGAUGUUGGCUUAGAAGCAGCCACCAUUGAAAGAGUGCGUAAUAGCUCACUGGUCGAGUGACCCCGCGCCGAAAAUGUACCGGGGCUAAACAUAUUACCGAAACUGUGGAUGAACCUCUUUAGAGGUUCGUGGUAGGAGAGCGUUCUAAGGGCGGUGAAGUCAGACCGGAAGGACUGGUGGAGCGCUUAGAAGUGAGAAUGCCGGUAUGAGUAGCGAAAGAAGGGUGAGAAUCCCUUCCACCGAAUAUCUAAGGUUUCCUGAGGAAGGCUCGUCCGCUCAGGGUUAGUCGGGACCUAAGCCGAGGCCGAUAGGCGUAGGCGAUGGACAACAGGUAGAGAUUCCUGUACCAGUGCUAAUUGUUUAACCGAUGGGGUGACACAGAAGGAUAGGGAAUCGCACGAAUGGAAAUGUGCGUCCAAGCAGUGAGUGUGAGAAGUAGGCAAAUCCGCUUCUCGCGAAGCAUGAGCUGUGAUGGGGAAGGAAAUUAAGUACGGAAGUUCCUGAUUUCACGCUGUCAAGAAAAGCCUCUAGGAAGAGUAGUACUGCCCGUACCGCAAACCGACACAGGUAGAUGAGGAGAGAAUCCUAAGGUGAGCGAGAGAACUCUCGUUAAGGAACUCGGCAAAAUGACCCCGUAACUUCGGGAGAAGGGGUGCUCUAUUAGGGUGCAAGCCCGAGAGAGCCGCAGUGAAUAGGCCCAGGCGACUGUUUAGCAAAAACACAGGUCUCUGCAAAACCGUAAGGUGACGUAUAGGGGCUGACGCCUGCCCGGUGCUGGAAGGUUAAGAGGAGUGCUUAGCUUCGGCGAAGGUACGAAUUGAAGCCCCAGUAAACGGCGGCCGUAACUAUAACGGUCCUAAGGUAGCGAAAUUCCUUGUCGGGUAAGUUCCGACCCGCACGAAAGGCGCAACGAUCUGGGCACUGUCUCAACGAGAGACUCGGUGAAAUUAUAGUACCUGUGAAGAUGCAGGUUACCCGCGACAGGACGGAAAGACCCCGUGGAGCUUUACUGCAACCUGAUAUGGAAUGUUUGUACCGCUUGUACAGGAUAGGUAGGAGCCGAAGAGACGUGUGCGCUAGCAUACGAGGAGGCAAUGGUGGGAUACUACCCUGGCUGUAUGACCAUUCUAACCCGCCACGCUUAGCGCGUGGGGAGACAGUGUCAGGUGGGCAGUUUGACUGGGGCGGUCGCCUCCUAAAGAGUAACGGAGGCGCCCAAAGGUUCCCUCAGAAUGGAUGGAAAUCAUUCGCAGAGUGUAAAGGCACAAGGGAGCUUGACUGCGAGACUGACAAGUC